GAUGAACGCUGGCGGCGUGCCUAAUACAUGCAAGUCGAACGAAACUUCUUUAUCACCGAGUGCUUGCACUCACCGAUAAAGAGUUGAGUGGCGAACGGGUGAGUAACACGUGGGCAACCUGCCCAAAAGAGGGGGAUAACACUUGGAAACAGGUGCUAAUACCGCAUAACCAUAGUUACCGCAUGGUAACUAUGUAAAAGGUGGCUAUACUACCGCUUUUGGAUGGGCCCGCGGCGCAUUAGCUAGUUGGUAGGGUAAAGGCUUACCAAGGCAAUGAUGCGUAGCCGAAUUGAGAGGUUGAUCGGCCACAUUGGGACUGAGACACGGCCCAAACUCCUACGGGAGGCAGCAGUAGGGAAUCUUCCACAAUGGGCGAAAGCCUGAUGGAGCAACGCCGCGUGGGUGAAGAAGGUCUUCGGAUCGUAAAACCCUGUUGCUAGAGAAGAAAGUGCGUGAGAGUAACUGUUCACGUUUCGACGGUAUCUAACCAGAAAGCCACGGCUAACUACGUG
Molecule: ribosomal RNA, 512 nt
Filed under: uncultured bacterium
Lineage: Bacteria
Description: partial 16S ribosomal RNA
Rfam family: Bacterial small subunit ribosomal RNA
Source: RNAcentral